AUGCAAGUCGAGCGGUAACAGAAAGUAGCUUGCUACUUUGCUGACGAGCGGCGGACGGGUGAGUAAUGCUUGGGAACAUGCCUUGAGGUGGGGGACAACAGUUGGAAACGACUGCUAAUACCGCAUAAUGUCUACGGACCAAAGGGGGCUUCGGCUCUCGCCUUUAGAUUGGCCCAAGUGGGAUUAGCUAGUUGGUGAGGUAAUGGCUCACCAAGGCGACGAUCCCUAGCUGGUUUGAGAGGAUGAUCAGCCACACUGGGACUGAGACACGGCCCAGACUCCUACGGGAGGCAGCAGUGGGGAAUAUUGCACAAUGGGCGCAAGCCUGAUGCAGCCAUGCCGCGUGUGUGAAGAAGGCCUUCGGGUUGUAAAGCACUUUCAGUCAGGAGGAAAGCGUGGUGGUUAAUACCCAUCAUG
Molecule: ribosomal RNA, 417 nt
Filed under: uncultured Pseudoalteromonas sp.
Lineage: Bacteria; Pseudomonadati; Pseudomonadota; Gammaproteobacteria; Alteromonadales; Pseudoalteromonadaceae
Description: bacterial SSU rRNA
Rfam family: Bacterial small subunit ribosomal RNA
Source: RNAcentral